This 253-nucleotide ribosomal RNA is filed under the name uncultured bacterium. Its description in RNAcentral is "partial 16S ribosomal RNA". It matches the Rfam family "Bacterial small subunit ribosomal RNA", at positions 524 to 776 of the family's 1533-position model. The record is from RNAcentral.
UACGUAGGGUGCAGGCGUUAAUCGGAAUUACUGGGCGUAAAGCGUGCGCAGGCGGUUUCCUAAGUCAGAUGUGAAAGCCCCGGGCUUAACCUGGGAACUGCGUUUGAAACUGGGAGACUAGAGUGUGGCAGAGGGGGGUGGAAUUCCACGUGUAGCAGUGAAAUGCGUAGAUAUGUGGAGGAACACCGAUGGCGAAGGCAGCCCCCUGGGUUAACACUGACGCUCAUGCACGAAAGCGUGGGGAGCAAACAGG